UACGAAGGGUGCAAGCGUUACUCGGAAUUACUGGGCGUAAAGCGUGCGUAGGUGGUUCGUUAAGUCUGAUGUGAAAGCCCCGGGCUCAACCUGGGAACUGCAUUGGAUACUGGCGAUCUGGAGUGCGGUAGAGGGUGGCGGAAUUCCCGGUGUAGCAGUGAAAUGCGUAGAGAUCGGGAGGAACAUCUGUGGCGAAGGCGGCCAUCUGGACCAGCACUGACACUGAGGCACGAAAGCGUGGGGAGCAAACAGG
This 253-nucleotide ribosomal RNA is filed under the name uncultured bacterium. Its description in RNAcentral is "partial 16S ribosomal RNA". It matches the Rfam family "Bacterial small subunit ribosomal RNA", at positions 524 to 776 of the family's 1533-position model. The record is from RNAcentral.